CUCUUCUCCGCCACCAUCCUCCUCCUCCUCAUCAGAAAAUGAAGAUGGGACUCGAGAUUCUCCUGAACGAUGAAGUGUUUGUGGAUUUCUUCAAUACAUAUUUAAGUCUUCCAGUGUUUGGUCAAACUCCGCUCUACAUGAUGAACCAAAACAAGUGGUUAAUGUGGCCCAAUGUGCCCUUCACUCAGGUGAACACUGGAGAGUUUCUGAAAUGGUUAGAGAUGCAUCGGAUGGUUUUCUUCAGACGAACUGAGCUCUAUCACUUUUUCCUUCUCUGUACAGAGAUCCUUGACUUUGUGUCCUGUAAAUCCACAGUGGAUUUGAAAUGGACUCCAGCAGAUCAGUGGCUUGUGAGGAAAUGUCUGGGCAGUGUGAGGGGAAUCCAGAGACUUCGCUCAUUUCUCAAGAGCUCUGAUGCAGAAGAGGAGCUUCUUCUGUUCUGCGUGAGAGCAUCCAUGAUCUUGAGGAUAAAGGAAGAAGAAACUGAAGAAGCGUUUCAGACAUUGAAUCGUCAAGCACUUCACACAGCGAUCAGACGGUAUGACGUGACUGCUCUCCUAUCGAGAGACUGUCCUCUGAUUUCCCA
Molecule: long non-coding RNA, 586 nt
Filed under: Danio rerio (zebrafish)
Lineage: Eukaryota; Metazoa; Chordata; Actinopteri; Cypriniformes; Danionidae
Description: lncRNA si:zfos-1169d6.1 (ENSDARG00000097359.2)
Source: RNAcentral